AUGAACGCUGGCGGCGUGCCUCAUACAUGCAAGUCGAGCGAACGGACGAGAAGCUUGCUUCUCUGAUGUUAGCGGCGGACGGGUGAGUAACACGUGGAUAACCUACCUAUAAGACUGGGAUAACUUCGGGAAACCGGAGCUAAUACCGGAUAAUAUUUUGAACCGCAUGGUUCAAAAGUGAAAGACGGUCUUGCUGUCACUUAUAGAUGGAUCCGCGCUGCAUUAGCUAGUUGGUAAGGUAACGGCUUACCAAGGCAACGAUGCAUAGCCGACCUGAGAGGGUGAUCGGCCACACUGGAACUGAGACACGGUCCAGACUCCUACGGGAGGCAGCAGUAGGGAAUCUUCCGCAAUGGGCGAAAGCCUGACGGAGCAACGCCGCGUGAGUGAUGAAGGUCUUCGGAUCGUAAAACUCUGUUAUUAGGGAAGAACAUAUGUGUAAGUAACUGUACACAUCUUGACGGUACCUAAUCAGAAAGCCACGGCUAACUACGUG
Molecule: ribosomal RNA, 496 nt
Filed under: uncultured bacterium
Lineage: Bacteria
Description: partial 16S ribosomal RNA
Rfam family: Bacterial small subunit ribosomal RNA
Source: RNAcentral